UUGAACGCUGGCGGAAUGCUUUACACAUGCAAGUCGAGCGGCAGCGCGGGGCAACCUGGCGGCGAGCGGCGAACGGGUGAGUAACAUAUCGGAACGUACCCUAUCGUGGGGGAUAACACAUCGAAAGAUGUGCUAAUACCGCAUACGACCUGAGGGUGAAAGCGGGGGAUCGCAAGACCUCGCGCGACAGGAGCGGCCGAUAUCGGAUUAGCUAGUUGGUGAGGUAAAGGCUCACCAAGGCGACGAUCCGUAGCUGGGCUGAGAGGACGACCAGCCACACUGGAACUGGGACACGGUCCAGACUCCUACGGGAGGCAGCAGUGGGGAAUUUUGGACAAUGGGGGCAACCCUGAUCCAGCCAUUCCGCGUGCAGGAUGAAGGCCUUCGGGUUGUAAACUGCUUUUGUACGGAACGAAACGGUUCUCUUUAAUAAAGAGGGCUAAUGACGGUACCGUAAGAAUAAGCACCGGCUAACUACGU
This 480-nucleotide ribosomal RNA is filed under the name uncultured bacterium. Its description in RNAcentral is "bacterial SSU rRNA". It matches the Rfam family "Bacterial small subunit ribosomal RNA", at positions 30 to 506 of the family's 1533-position model. The record is from RNAcentral.